This 68-nucleotide transfer RNA is filed under the name Phyllopezus pollicaris. Its description in RNAcentral is "tRNA-Ala". Lineage: Eukaryota; Metazoa; Chordata; Lepidosauria; Squamata; Phyllodactylidae. The record is from RNAcentral.
GAGGUUUUAGCUUAAUUAAAGUGUCUAAAUUGCAUUUAGAUSAUGUAAAUUAUAUAUUAACAGGCCUU